AGAGUUUGAUCCUGGCUCAGGACGAACGCUGGCGGCGUGCUUAACUCAUGCAAGUCGAACGCUGAAGUCAGAGCUUGCUCUGGUGGAUGAGUGGCGAACGGGUGAGUAACACGUGAGUAACCUGCCCCUGACUCUGGGAUAAGCGCUGGAAACGGUGUCUAAUACUGGAUAUGAGCAACGGUCGCAUGGCCUGUUGUUGGAAAGAUUUAUCGGUUGGGGAUGGACUCGCGGCCUAUCAGCUUGUUGGUGAGGUAAUGGCUCACCAAGGCGACGACGGGUAGCCGGCCUGAGAGGGUGACCGGCCACACUGGGACUGAGACACUGCCCAGACACCUACGGGUGGCUGCAGUCGAGAAUCUUCGGCAAUGGGGGAAACCCUGACCGAGCGACGCCGCGUGCGGGAUGAAGGCCUUCGGGUUGUAAACCGCUGUCGUAAGGGAACAAAUCCAUAGGGGUACUCCCCUAUGGUUGAGUGAUCUUAGGAGGAAGGACGGGCUAAGUUCGUGCCAGCAGCCGCGGUAAUA
RNAcentral lists this ribosomal RNA (524 nucleotides) under uncultured bacterium. RNAcentral describes it as "bacterial SSU rRNA". It matches the Rfam family "Bacterial small subunit ribosomal RNA", at positions 8 to 525 of the family's 1533-position model. The record is from RNAcentral.